RNAcentral lists this ribosomal RNA (253 nucleotides) under uncultured bacterium. RNAcentral describes it as "partial 16S ribosomal RNA". It matches the Rfam family "Bacterial small subunit ribosomal RNA", at positions 524 to 776 of the family's 1533-position model. The record is from RNAcentral.
UACGGGGGGGGUAAGCGUUGUUCGGAAUUACUGGGCGUAAAGGGCUCGUAGGCGGCCAACUAAGUCAGACGUGAAAUCCCUCAGCUUAACUGGGGAACUGCGUCUGAUACUGGAUGGCUUGGAUUCGGGAGAGGAAUGCGGAAUUCCAGGUGUAGCGGUGAAAUGCGUAGAUAUCUGGAGGAACACCGGUGGCGAAGGCGGCAUUCUGGACUGCAACUGACACUGAGGAACGAAAGCCAGGGGAGCAAACGGG